RNAcentral lists this long non-coding RNA (444 nucleotides) under Nicotiana benthamiana. RNAcentral describes it as "long non-coding RNA (NBEN_LNC015278)". Lineage: Eukaryota; Viridiplantae; Streptophyta; Magnoliopsida; Solanales; Solanaceae. The record is from RNAcentral.
UCAAUACGCAAAUACUGAAAACUUUGAAACCUUUAUGUAUUUACCCAAAAACCGAUCGUGAAACCUCUAGCGUGCCCUCUCCUUGUCCUGCAGCCUCUUGAGAACAUUUCCACUUUCUUUCUCUCUCUAACUUUUUUAGUUUCAAUGGCGGCAAGGAAUGCAUUGCUGAAGUACCUGAGAGUGGAAGCUCGGCCUGCAGCAGUGGGAAACCCCAGAAGGCUCAUCGGAGCAGCAUUUACCCAGGUAUUCAGACGCCACAACUUUUUGAGUUUCAAUGGCGGCGAGGAAUGCAUUGCUGAAGUACCUGAGAGUGGAAGCUCGGCCUGCAGCAGUGGGAAACCCCAGAAGGCUCGUGGGAGCAGCAUUUACCCGGGUAUUCAGACGCCAUUUCUCGGAGGAAGUGAGGGGCUCCUUUCUCGACAAGUCUGAAGUCACUGAUCGUGU